This 77-nucleotide transfer RNA is filed under the name Hyphomicrobiales bacterium. RNAcentral's name for it is "Rhizobiales bacterium tRNA-Pro". It matches the Rfam family "tRNA". Rfam says of the family: Transfer RNA (tRNA) molecules are approximately 80 nucleotides in length. Their secondary structure includes four short double-helical elements and three loops (D, anti-codon, and T loops). Further hydrogen bonds mediate the characteristic L-shaped molecular structure. tRNAs have two regions of fundamental functional importance: the anti-codon, which is responsible for specific mRNA codon recognition, and the 3' end, to which the tRNAs corresponding amino acid is attached (by aminoacyl-tRNA synthetases). tRNAs cope with the degeneracy of the genetic code in two manners: having more than one tRNA (with a specific anti-codon) for a particular amino acid; and 'wobble' base-pairing, i.e. permitting non-standard base-pairing at the 3rd anti-codon position. Lineage: Bacteria; Pseudomonadati; Pseudomonadota; Alphaproteobacteria; Hyphomicrobiales. RNAcentral also lists the same sequence under 2 other names. The record is from RNAcentral.
CGGAGCGUAGCGCAGCCUGGUAGCGCACCUGCUUCGGGAGCAGGGGGUCGGGAGUUCGAAUCUCCCCGCUCCGACCA